RNAcentral lists this ribosomal RNA (497 nucleotides) under uncultured bacterium. RNAcentral's name for it is "partial 16S ribosomal RNA". It matches the Rfam family "Bacterial small subunit ribosomal RNA", at positions 28 to 507 of the family's 1533-position model. The record is from RNAcentral.
GAUGAACGCUGGCGGCGUGCCUAACACAUGCAAGUCGAACGGACAGAUGAGGAGCUUGCUCGUCUGACGUUAGCCGCGGGCGUGAGAGUAACACGUGUAUAACCUACCUAUAAGACUGGGAUCACUACGGGAAACCGGAGCUAAUACCGUAUAAUAUAUUGAACCGCAUGGUUCAAUGGUUAGAGACGGUUUUGCGGUCGCUUAUAGAUGGAUCCGCGCCGCAUUAGCUAGUUGGUAAGGUAACCGCUUACCAAGGCGACGAUGCGUAGCCGACCUGAGAGGGUGAUCGGCCACACUGGAACUGAGACACGGUCCAGACUCCUACGGGAGGCAGCAGUAGGGAAUCUUCGGCAAUGGGCGAAAGCCUGACGCAGCAACGCCGCGUGAGUGAUGAAGGUCUUCGGAUCGUAAAACUCUGUUAUUAGGGAAGAACAGCUGUGUAAGUAAACAUGCAGGUCUUGACGGUACCGAAUCAAAAAGCACCGGCUAACUACGUG